GACGUAGGGCGCGAGCGUUGUCCGGAUUUAUUGGGCGUAAAGAGCUCGUAGGCGGUCUGUCGCGUCUGCUGUGAAAACUCAGGGCUUAACCCUGAGCUUGCAGUGGGUACGGGCAGACUAGAGUGCGGUAGGGGAGACUGGAAUUCCUGGUGUAGCGGUGAAAUGCGCAGAUAUCAGGAGGAACACCAAUUGCGAAGGCAGCUCGCUGGAACGUAACUGACGCUGAGACGCGAAAGCGUGGGGAGCAAACAGG
Molecule: ribosomal RNA, 253 nt
Filed under: uncultured bacterium
Lineage: Bacteria
Description: partial 16S ribosomal RNA
Rfam family: Bacterial small subunit ribosomal RNA
Source: RNAcentral